GGCUAUGAGGAGUCUCAUUGAAUCCAAUGGCAGGGAUGUCCACGAGAGGCUCAAGGUGACACUACUGGAAAGUUAUCAGAGACCCAGACAGCUGCUUGCCUGGGCUCUCUGUGUCCCUCUUUCUCUGGGAUCUUAUUUGUGUGUUAUGUUUUUUGUUUUUGUUUUUUUUUUAGAUCUCAGUCUCUCUCGGUAGAUCUGUUUCCAUCUUCUCCAUGAAGACUGGCCCUCUCCAGGUCCAAAAAUGUUCACCUCGAGGGAGAUGUCAUCUCUCAGGUCAUUGACCCAACAACCAAGAAUCUAAACCUAAAUUCCCAGAAGAGGGAGAAUCAUUGGCCAAUGAGCAGCCAAGGGGGUGCCUCUCCUCAGUCAUGUGUCCAUCUCUGUUCCAAUAGGGUGCAUUCAGGUCGUGCUGCCCGGGGACGCCCGAGGACGGACAGCCAGCCAGGAUACCUCCUCAUGGCCACCACCCCUAUGAGAUCACACCGCCGGAGCCACCCGGGGCCUUGGCACCAGAUCACAGUCUUCCUUCUCCCAAACGCCUGCAUGUCCCGGGGGGAUGUCGGCAUCCUCUGCUCCCCCGCUGCCCAGCACCCACCACCUGGGGCGCCUUCUAUCUGCUGA
This 621-nucleotide long non-coding RNA is filed under the name Vulpes vulpes (red fox). RNAcentral's name for it is "lncRNA (ENSVVUG00000015181.1)". The record is from RNAcentral. Lineage: Eukaryota; Metazoa; Chordata; Mammalia; Carnivora; Canidae.